Molecule: ribosomal RNA, 274 nt
Filed under: uncultured bacterium
Lineage: Bacteria
Description: partial 16S ribosomal RNA
Rfam family: Bacterial small subunit ribosomal RNA
Source: RNAcentral
AUACGUAGGAUCCGAGCGUUGUCCGGAUUUACUGGGCGUAAAGGGUGCGUAGGCGGCGUGGUAAGUCUCAUGUGAAAUCUCCCGGCUUAACUGGGAGGGGUCAUGGGAUACUGCCAUGCUCGAGGGCAGUAGAGGAGAGCGGAAUUCCGGGAGUAGCGGUGAUAUGCGUAGAUACCCGGAGGAACACCCGUGGCGAAAGCGGCUCUCUGGGCUGUACCUGACGCUAAGGCACGAAAGCGUGGGGAGCAAACCGGAUUAGAAACCCCGGUAGUCC